GCAUCAAUGGGGUAGUGGUAACCUGGGUCGUUGCCAUAUCGCAUGUGCUAGACCAGUUUCUCGACCCGCCGGGGGUUCGAUUCCCUCUUGAUGCA
Leucoagaricus sp. SymC.cos is the source of this 95-nucleotide non-coding RNA. The record is from Rfam. Lineage: Eukaryota; Fungi; Basidiomycota; Agaricomycetes; Agaricales; Agaricaceae.